AUUGAACGCUGGCGGCAGGCCUAACACAUGCAAGUCGAACGGUAGCACAGAGAGCUUGCUCUCGGGUGACGAGUGGCGGACGGGUGAGUAAUGUCUGGGAAACUGCCCGAUGGAGGGGGAUAACUACUGGAAACGGUAGCUAAUACCGCAUAACGUCGCAAGACCAAAGUGGGGGACCUUCGUGCCUCACACCAUCGGAUGUGCCCAGAUGGGAUUAGCUAGUAGGUGGGGUAAUGGAUCACCUAGGCGACGAUCCCUAGCUGGUCUGCGAGGAUGACCAGGCACACUGGAACUGAGACACGGUCCAGACUCCUACGGGAGGCAGCAGUGGGGAAUAUUGCACAAUGGGCGCAAGCCUGAUGCAGCCAUGCCGCGUGUAUGAAGAAGGCCUUCGGGUUGUAAAGUACUUUCAGCGGGGAGGAAGGCGGUGAAGUUAAUAGCUUCACCGAUUGACGUUACCCGCAGAAGAAGCACCGGCUAACUCCGUGCCAGCCGCCGCCGUAA
This 504-nucleotide ribosomal RNA is filed under the name uncultured bacterium. RNAcentral's name for it is "partial 16S ribosomal RNA". It matches the Rfam family "Bacterial small subunit ribosomal RNA", at positions 30 to 523 of the family's 1533-position model. The record is from RNAcentral.